This 5103-nucleotide long non-coding RNA is filed under the name Sus scrofa (pig). Its description in RNAcentral is "lncRNA (ENSSSCG00000060784.1)". The record is from RNAcentral. Lineage: Eukaryota; Metazoa; Chordata; Mammalia; Artiodactyla; Suidae.
UGCUGCCCAUUGUACGAGAUACUUUGUCUGUUACAUAUUUGUGUGUAAAUAUUUGCAUGUGUAUGCACACACACACUUUAAGUACAUAUGUGGUAACAUUCAGCAACCUGCUACCGUGGCAGAGCGCCUAUCCGUCUAUAAGGCUGUGUCUGUGCGCUGAGGAUCAGAAGGGGCCAGAGUAGCUGGUUCCGGUUGGUCUUCAGAGCCACGGCAGGUGUUCUGUCUUUCCCCCCAGCUCUAAACCAUACCCACUGGGGACUCCAGGAGUCUGACCCAGGAGAGAGGAGGAUCUGAAGGGAAGAAACAGAGAGGUUAAGAGUAUCUUCUCCACUUACCUUUAGUUUGGGGCUUUUUUUUUUUGCUCAAAAGUGGGAAUGAAUUUCAGGAGUGGGCGUGUUUACCGAUGCACAAGUUGCCAAGGCUCUGCGUCGGGAACGGUGGCUGCAGGUGUGAUGGGAGGACCUGUGGGUGAGCUCUCACCCGCAGCACCUUCUGCUUCUGCUCUCAAGGAGCCCUGCUUGCUUGGUACCUCCUCCCCUGAAUCUAGCAGCUCUCCCCUUGGAAGCUGAUUCCGGCUCAGAUGGGGUAUCAGCCCGAGGGGUAUGAGUCAAUGAAACGCAAAGGCUUUAUUUAGCACAGCACUAGGCACAUAGUAAUUAUGCAAUAAAUCUUAGCUAUUUGAGUUACAACCUUUGGUAAAGGGAAUAAUAUUAUUCAACCAAUCUGCAUUACACCACUUCUUUCUUCCAUUAUGGAGCUUGUCUCUCCUUUAAACUGUUAAACUUGAAGAGGGAAACCAAACCUGAUAAUCUGGUCACGUUUAUACACCCAUAAAUUCUACCUCCAACACAUCCAAGCCCUGAUACCUCAAGAUAUAAGCAGAAACCACUAAAGAAUAGAGAAGAGCCCCAAGAGGCUCUAUGAGAAAGCUUUCCCAUUUUGUAGGGUGUUUGCUAAGGGGAGUACUGUGGGAAAACCUAACCAAAGCUGUUGAAGACAUGGGCUCCUCGGUUAUGUGGCAUCCCCCAGUUUUCCUGGGGCUACGUGCUGUAUUACCCUGCCCUGACUGGUAAAUGGUGUUUGUAGAAAUGUGAAAUCCUGAUACUGCGAUUUUUAUUCUAAUUCAGCCUUACUAAAGGCAUCAAGCGCUAUACCCACCCUAUCGGCCUGUUCAUGGACAGCUGUUGAGAGAACCUGAGUAAAACAAUCCCUCCUGGAGACGCAGAAGCCUCCGGCUAUAGAAGAGAGAUCACCAGACUGGCAGCGCCUCCGCUGCUCCCUUGGCAGAGGCUGGGCUCACUCUCCGGAGCUGCCAAGUGAGGUCACUGGAACGAGAUCGUUUCCACAGUGAGCAGUGUUACACUCUUGCCAUUCCUCAAGGCCAUUUAGUUACGAAGUGGCAAAACUAGGAGGCAGAAUUCCCAUUUCCUCAGACUCAUCUGAUGAAUCUCCUAAAUCAGUGCUUCUUGCUAUCCUGGAACGCUUUCGCUAGGAACGACAAUUUUCUUGAAUUUUCAAGUUUCCCUCCUAAAGUUAUUUUGCUGUCUCUACAGGCAGCCAAAUGUUGAUUGUUUUUCUCUGGUUAGGCUGACGCUAACCACAUGGUUGCCGCUUAAAUAAACCGAAUGUUUAAAUAUUAUGCUUAUCAAACACGCAUCCCUUUGCUGCUUUUAUUGAAGUCUGGAUGGCUCUCCGUUUUUGAGCUACUACCCAGUUACCUUUAGGCAUCAUGAAAGGCAAACAGAGAAGGCCUCAAAGAAGAGGUCCCUCCUUUUCUCUACAGGAGCUCUCAUUUAGUCUAAGUGAAGGCCCACACGCAUUUAGAAACUGUUAGCAAGCAGCCCUGAACUGAAGAAUACAUUAAAAGUUUCAAAUUCAUUUUUCUCAUGAAAUGUUUUUGCUUUGGGGGUGAAUUUUUUUUUGGGGGGGGGCCUACAUCCACAGCAUAUGGAAGUUCCCAACCUAGAGAUCCAAUCUAAGCCACAGCUGCAACCUACGCUAUCGUGGCAGCAACGCCUGCCCCUUCACCCUGUGCCACAGCGAGAGCUCCUGGGGUGAAUUUUUAACGCUCUGUAUUAAAAGAAAAACCAUACAUUUGUGUAGGCAGUGUGCUUAGGUAAAAAUCCUUGGCGUGCUUUCCCAUAAAAAUGAUCACCUUCACAAAAACAUGAGGGAGGGGAGAGAUUGGUGGUGACCUAAGAAAUGCCCUUUCUGAAAGAACAGGAGGCUGAGUGGGGUGAAAAACUAGCUUAUCUCUGGAAAUUCCUCUGUUUCCACAUAGCCUGACAUCACCGGAUUUCCCAAAGCUCCUUUGAGGGGGGCCGCCCAUCCUUCUGGCAAAGUUGGCCUUUGAUGAUGACAAGUUGGAGCUCUUCUAGUUCUUUAUAGGCAAAGAAAUCCAGACACGUUCCUUAUAUUUUCACUGUUGAUCAGAAUCAGAUUUUUACGCUCAAUCAAAGUGCAUUCAUAUUGAAGUUAAUAACUCCAGGACAUUUUAUAAGACCCCCCCCCAAAAAAAAUCACUGGAUUAUAUGUAGAUGCAUAUUGCUUCCAUUAUUAUUAAUAGCAAUUAGGUAGUUCCUGCUGCCCCACUGAGAUGAGACUAGGCUCCUAAAUACUUUAUGGUCAGUAUACCUGAUUCAAUUAAUUUACAUGUCACCGUAGUUACGAAUUCGUUCACAUCGGUUUCUGGAAGAUUCAGAUUUGACUAACACUAAGUGUUAGCUCAUAGCGCCCUUGUAUUUUCAUUUAAUUCUCACAACAGCUCUGUAAGGUAGGUCUCAUUAUUCCCAUUUUACUUGCUGAGAAACCAAGACUCAGAGAAGUUAAGUAAAUUUCCCAAAGUCUCCCAGAGCUAACAAAUUGGAGAACUUAGGUUUGAGUCCAGGUCUUCUGACUCCGAAUCCAGUGAUCAGACUGCCUUUUUAGUCCCAAAGAAGUCCAUUUAUCACAGAACUUUUAAAAAAUUAUGUCAUUCGUUAUAUGUACUCUUGGAGUAAUUUGAUAUAUUGGCAUUAUUUAAUAGUUCCUAGGAGUUCCUACUGCAGCGCAGUGGGUUAACAAUAAAACUGCAAAGGUGGUUAGAAUCCUGCGUUGCUUCAGCUGCAGCUCAGAUUCACUCCCUGGCCAGGGAACUUCCAUAUGCUGUGGGUAUAGCCAUAAAAAAAAAAUUCCUGGAGGAAUUCCUGUCAUGGCAUGGGGGAAACGAACCCGACUAGGAACCAUGAGGUUGCGGGUUUGAUCCCUGGCCUCCAUCAGUAGGUUAAGGAUCCAGUGUUGUCAUGAGCUGUGGUGUAGGUCGCAGACACAGCUCCGAUCUGGCCUUGCUGUUCUUGUGACUGUAGCUGUAGCCAGCAGCUAUAACUCCAAUUAAACCCAUAGCCUGGGAACCUCCAUAUGCUGUGGGUGUGGCCCUAAAAAGCAAAGGGGAAAAAAAAGUUCCUGGAAAGCCUGAUGGCUUUCUAUGAAUGACUAUGACAUUUUCUGCCUACUGAGAACAUUCUGUGUUUAUUUAAUAAAAACUUGUAUUAUCUAUCAUCUACCUUAGGGGCAGACGAUCAUGCCAGUUUAUUCUAAUUAAAUUCAAGUCACUUACAAACUGCACCUGUUUUGACAUUGGUAUCGUUGCUUAAAAUGUAAAGGACUUCCUAUGACACAAUUACAUGCUCAGGGUUCUUACUUUUGCUUUUUAAUUUUGAUGUCAGAGGACUUUUAUAAUCUUUAGGCUAAAGCCCCCUCAUAGCAAAAUAAUACUUAUUUAGUCAUUUGUUUUCUCUUCUUUCUCUUAUCAGCACAUGUUUUUCCAUUUUGCAACUUAAAAAACAAGAGGUUCUAAGUUACUGUGAGAGAGCCCAGAGAUAUUAAAAGCCUAUAAAAGAUCAACAAGACAGUAAGUAGUAGAUUUAGGACUAGGAAAUUAAUCCAGAAUCUUUCCUCCAUAACAUAGCCGGGAAGUUUUGGAUUUUUAAAAAUUAAUUAAUGGAGCUGCAUCUGGCGGAACAUCUGACUAGCAAAAGCCUCCAGAGAGUGCCUGCCUUCCCAGAAAAGCACUCAUCAAGAUCCAGAAGAGGGCCAAAUGUUCAUUCUAGAAUCUAGAAGGAAUCAAUACACUUUACAAGGCAUUUGGAGUUGGAGGGAGGCAAAAGCUCUCAGGUCGUAGCUCACUGUUUUCUUGGUCUUCAUGAGACAGAGGUUCUGUGACAUAAACAAUCUGAAAGACACUUGAUACUUGUUCUCCGUAACCAUGGCUGUCUCUUUGCUCAGAGCCCCGGAGCCAGAGAAAUAACUGGCCGAUCCCCUCUCUUAACCAGAAGCCACACUGGGAAGUGAAAGUGUCUUCUGUCAUCCCCCCCCACCCCACCCCCCCCGCCUCCCCACCUUCCAUCUCCUCACCCACCUCCUCUUCAUUCGGUCCAGCUCAAAAUCCUAGGGCUAAAACGUGGGCAGAAAGCAAAGAAGAUCUAUUAGAGACAUAGAGCGUUCUGAGAAAAACACCCUUUAGAUGAAGGCAGAAACAGUAAAUAACCAAGUAGCACGGCAUACAAAUGUUGUGAUUUUUUUCAUGUAUGGCUUUGGAUCAGAAAACCAGGCACUAGGAAGGAAAAGGAUGCCACUUCAAUGGAAAAGUGUUAGAUGAGAAAUUAUUCUUGGACAUAUGCACAUCUCCUUACCAUCAACCUCUGCAUCCCCAGAAAGGGAUCUGACAAACACGCAAGUGGACAGAUAGUAUAACCAAGGGUGAUUCCUGGGUUUGAGAGGAAAGGACCACAUUUAAAGAUGAGUAUAGAGAAAACAAAAUGAGUCAUUGAAAACGUGUGACUGAACCAGGGAAAAUGAACAGCCUCCAGAACACUUGAAAAUGAAAGUGGUGUAUUGCAGGGAACAAACAAAAAAAUAUAGCAUUGUCUCUGUCAUAAUUGAAGGAAGAGAAGAAUUGCUUCUAUCCAGCAAUAGUGUAUUAUCUUAAAAUGGGAAUGGCUUAAGAGAAAAAGCAAUAUAAUAAAAUGGAAAAGAAGAUAAAUUAGGAAGAAGGAUUUCGAGAGAGCUAAAGACACACUAGGAGAUUAAAAUCCACAUUGGAAGCAAGAAAGAACAAUAUUGAUG